RNAcentral lists this long non-coding RNA (1323 nucleotides) under Corvus moneduloides (New Caledonian crow). RNAcentral's name for it is "lncRNA (ENSCMUG00000019530.1)". The record is from RNAcentral. Lineage: Eukaryota; Metazoa; Chordata; Aves; Passeriformes; Corvidae.
AUGGAUCCCAGAACUUCACACCCCACUCGCCCCAGCACCCUGCACCCUUUGCCAGGAGGGGCUGGAGACGCCCUCCCCCUUGGUUUGGGGUUACCAGCAGACAAUCCGGGGACCCCCCUGCAGGGGCUGGGUGCCAGCUGCAACGCCCAUGGGUCUGGCAGGGUUUGGGCAGGGCUGGCCAUGCCGGGCAGAGCCCCGGCCCCGCGGCGCAGCCUUGCCCGGGUGCUUUACGUAAGGAGCCUGUUUUCACAACAGCUGGUUUUCCCCUGGCAGCCCCCCCCCUGCACAUUCCCUUCCCCGCGCCCCGCUGCGAGGCCGCCCUGCCCCGCGCACCCCGCGCCUGCCCGGCCCCGAGGAUUUAUGAAAACAAAACAAAAGCUGAGCCAGGCAGGACUGGACAUCACGAGAACCUGGCUGGGGCCCCACACGCUGUGCUGGGGCUCAGUCUCCCCCGGAGCUCACCCUCAGGGUGCCAGGGGAACUCUUGCCAUCGGGCACAGAGGCAGUGACACCCGGGGGUGUCACUGUCACCUGGCACUGCGGCAGGAACACAAAGUCCCCCCUGCUGCCAGGUACUCCCAGCUCCCUGCCCAGGUGCCAGGAGGGGGUGCCCGAUGGAUACCUGGGUGGUGCCAGGCUCUCCUGGAGGUGGCAAAGCUGGGAGCCAGCCCAAGGACCUGGAGGUGGCAAAGCUGGUGCAAGCUCAGGAGUACGGGAGUGCUUGAGCAAGGCUGGGGGCAGGAUGGGGUAUCUGGGCUGUGGGUCCCCGUGGCAGCUGGACACAGACCCUUGGGCAUAACUCGGGUGUUUGCACCCGGAGAUGGUUUAGCCCCAACGACAGAUGGGCUGAGCCAGGAUGAGGGGUGUGGGGAAUCCUUGGGGGCCAGCCCAGCUCCCGGGGGAUCUCCCCUUGCCCCCCUAUCCCCCUGCCCAGUGCAGCCACUUCGGGGUGCAGGUGAAGUGAGCUGGAUCCACUACAGCCCAGCCCUGGCAGGCUCGGGGGGGGCCAGGCUGGACUGCACGUGGGCGGUGGGAACAGGGGCUGGCUCCGGGCACAGCACGUGGCUUCCCUUACAUAAUUCCCUGAUAAACAACAUGUGUGACCAGUUCCCGCUAGGAUUGCAAAAUGCUGGGGGCAGAGGGCUGCGGGGGGACUGGGCCCCCACCUGCCUGCUGCGGGGCUGCUCCCUGUCCCCUCCUGAAGCCAGUGGCAGUGGGCCACUCGCCUGGAAUGCGUGGCAGGACAGCCUUGGCCAGGCUCCACAUACAGGGAGGAGGGGUCCGAUGAGGGGCUGCAGCAUUAACCCUGGGGCUCUCCCCUAG